This 253-nucleotide ribosomal RNA is filed under the name uncultured bacterium. RNAcentral describes it as "partial 16S ribosomal RNA". It matches the Rfam family "Bacterial small subunit ribosomal RNA", at positions 524 to 776 of the family's 1533-position model. The record is from RNAcentral.
UACGUAGGGACCAAGCGUUGUUCGGAUUUACUGGGCGUAAAGGGCGCGUAGGCGGCGCGGUAAGUCACUUGUGAAAUCUCUGAGCUUAACUCAGAACGGCCAAGUGAUACUGCAGUGCUAGAGUGUGGAAGGGGCAAUCGGAAUUCUUGGUGUAGCGGUGAAAUGCGUAGAUAUCAAGAGGAACACCUGAGGUGAAGACGGGUUGCUGGGCCAACACUGACGCUGAGGCGCGGAAGCCAGGGGAGCAAACGGG